UACGGGGGGGGCAAGCGUUGUUCGGAAUUACUGGGCGUAAAGGGUUUGUAGGUGGCUUGCUAAGUCAGACGUGAAAUCCCUCAGCUUAACUGGGGAACUGCGUCUGAUACUGGCGAGCUUGAGUGCAGGAGAGGAACGCGGAAUUCCAGGUGUAGCGGUGAAAUGCGUAGAUAUCUGGAGGAACACCGAUGGCGAAGGCAGGUCUCUGGGCUGUAACUGACGCUGAGGAGCGAAAGCAUGGGGAGCGAACAGG
RNAcentral lists this ribosomal RNA (253 nucleotides) under uncultured bacterium. RNAcentral describes it as "partial 16S ribosomal RNA". It matches the Rfam family "Bacterial small subunit ribosomal RNA", at positions 524 to 776 of the family's 1533-position model. The record is from RNAcentral.